GAUGAAGAACGUAGCGAAAUGCGAUAAGUAAUGUGAAUUGCAGAAUUCAGUGAAUCAUCGAAUCUUUGAACGCACAUUGCGCCCUCUGGUAUUCCGGAGGGCAUGCCUGUUCGAGCGUCAUUUCACCACUCAAGCCUGGCUUGGUAUUGGGCGCCGCGGUGUUCCGCGCGCCUCAAAGUCUCCGGCUGAGCUGUCCGUCUCCAAGCGUUGUGAUUUCAUUAAUCGCUUCGGAGUGCGGGCGGCCGCGGCCGUUAAAUCUUUCACAAGGUUGACCUCGGAUCAGGUAGGGAUACCCGCUGAACUUAAGCAUAUCAAUAAGCGGAGGA
This 326-nucleotide unclassified non-coding RNA is filed under the name soil metagenome. RNAcentral describes it as "partial contains 5.8S ribosomal RNA, internal transcribed spacer 2, and large subunit ribosomal RNA". The stretch from base 1 to 120 matches the Rfam family "5.8S ribosomal RNA", at positions 35 to 154 of the family's 154-position model. The record is from RNAcentral.